RNAcentral lists this long non-coding RNA (298 nucleotides) under Mytilus galloprovincialis (Mediterranean mussel). Lineage: Eukaryota; Metazoa; Mollusca; Bivalvia; Mytilida; Mytilidae. The record is from RNAcentral.
AUUUACUUAUAGUAUAACUAAUCGCUGUAUUUUAAUAUCAAAAAUAAGACAACGCGUGACCGAACGACGCAUGGAUUAAACGAGUGCGCAGCACGAGUUUAAUCCAUAGCGGCGUUCGGUCACAAGUUGUCUUAUUUUUGAUAUUCAAAUACGGCGAUUAGUUAUUCUUUUUAUUACAUUGGCAAAUGGCUUUUUUUAUGACAUUAAUGUAGAAAAUGUAAGGAACUAUAUCUUUUUCAUACGCAUUGACAAUUUGUUUUGAUCCGACGUUAUCGACGUCUUGACAACGCCUAUUGUU